This 1820-nucleotide ribosomal RNA is filed under the name Salmonella enterica subsp. enterica serovar Enteritidis. RNAcentral's name for it is "partial 23S ribosomal RNA". It matches the Rfam family "Bacterial large subunit ribosomal RNA", at positions 485 to 2290 of the family's 2925-position model. Lineage: Bacteria; Pseudomonadati; Pseudomonadota; Gammaproteobacteria; Enterobacterales; Enterobacteriaceae. The record is from RNAcentral.
CGAUAGUGAACCAGUACCGUGAGGGAAAGGCGAAAAGAACCCCGGCGAGGGGAGUGAAAAAGAACCUGAAACCGUGUACGUACAAGCAGUGGGAGCACCCUUUGGGUGUGACUGCGUACCUUUUGUAUAAUGGGUCAGCGACUUAUAUUCUGUAGCAAGGUUAACCGAAUAGGGGAGCCGGAGGGAAACCGAGUCUUAACCGGGCGUUAAGUUGCAGGGUAUAGACCCGAAACCCGGUGAUCUAGCCAUGGGCAGGUUGAAGGUUGGGUAACACUAACUGGAGGACCGAACCGACUAAUGUUGAAAAAUUAGCGGAUGACCUGUGGCUGGGGGUGAAAGGCCAAUCAAACCGGGAGAUAGCUGGUUCUCCCCGAAAGCUAUUUAGGUAGCGCCUCGUGAAUUCAUCUCCGGGGGUAGAGCACUGUUUCGGCUAGGGGGCCAUCCCGGCUUACCAACCCGAUGCAAACUGCGAAUACCGGAGAAUGUUAUCACGGGAGACACACGGCGGGUGCUAACGUCCGUCGUGAAGAGGGAAACAACCCAGACCGCCAGCUAAGGUCCCAAAGUCAUGGUUAAGUGGGAAACGAUGUGGGAAGGCCCAGACAGCCAGGAUGUUGGCUUAGAAGCAGCCAUCAUUUAAAGAAAGCGUAAUAGCUCACUGGUCGAGUCGGCCUGCGCGGAAGAUGUAACGGGGCUAAACCAUGCACCGAAGCUGCGGCAGCGACACUGUGUGUUGUUGGGUAGGGGAGCGUUCUGUAAGCCUGUGAAGGUGUGUCGUGAGGCAUGCUGGAGGUAUCAGAAGUGCGAAUGCUGACAUAAGUAACGAUAAAGCGGGUGAAAAGCCCGCUCGCCGGAAGACCAAGGGUUCCUGUCCAACGUUAAUCGGGGCAGGGUGAGUCGACCCCUAAGGCGAGGCCGAAAGGCGUAGUCGAUGGGAAACGGGUUAAUAUUCCCGUACUUGGUGUUACUGCGAAGGGGGGACGGAGAAGGCUAUGUUGGCCGGGCGACGGUUGUCCCGGUUUAAGCGUGUAGGUGUGUGUUCCAGGUAAAUCCGGUUCACUUUAACACUGAGGCGUGACGACGAGGCACUACGGUGCUGAAGCAACAAAUGCCCUGCUUCCAGGAAAAGCCUCUAAGCAUCAGGUAACAUCAAAUCGUACCCCAAACCGACACAGGUGGUCAGGUAGAGAAUACCAAGGCGCUUGAGAGAACUCGGGUGAAGGAACUAGGCAAAAUGGUGCCGUAACUUCGGGAGAAGGCACGCUGACACGUAGGUGAAGUGAUUUACUCAUGGAGCUGAAGUCAGUCGAAGAUACCAGCUGGCUGCAACUGUUUAUUAAAAACACAGCACUGUGCAAACACGAAAGUGGACGUAUACGGUGUGACGCCUGCCCGGUGCCGGAAGGUUAAUUGAUGGGGUCAGCGCAAGCGAAGCUCCUGAUCGAAGCCCCGGUAAACGGCGGCCGUAACUAUAACGGUCCUAAGGUAGCGAAAUUCCUUGUCGGGUAAGUUCCGACCUGCACGAAUGGCGUAAUGAUGGCCAGGCUGUCUCCACCCGAGACUCAGUGAAAUUGAACUCGCUGUGAAGAUGCAGUGUACCCGCGGCAAGACGGAAAGACCCCGUGAACCUUUACUAUAGCUUGACACUGAACAUUGAGCCUUGAUGUGUAGGAUAGGUGGGAGGCUUUGAAGUGUGGACGCCAGUCUGCAUGGAGCCGACCUUGAAAUACCACCCUUUAAUGUUUGAUGUUCUAACGUGGACCCGUUACCCGGGUUGCGGACAGUGUCUGGUGGGUAGUUUGACUGGGGCGGUCUCCUCC